GGCAGCAGGGUUGGGCUCUCGCCGUGAGUCGACGAAGGGAGCGCGGGCGCGCGCCCGCGUCCGCGCACUGAGAGUCGCCUCGGCCGCUCGCUUUCUCGACUCCCGCCUCGCGCCUCGAUCCUGUUCCGCCUCCCUCGGCCCUCCUGCCCGCCCCCACUCGUCGGCCCUCAGGUGCUGCCCAGUUCAUGAGUGCUGCUGCUGUCCUGCCCAAGUACCCAGCUUGCAGAGUGCCAGAGUUAGAGUCCCAGGGGUGUUCUCCACAGCUGCAUGCUUGAUCCAGGCCUAUCAGAUAUAUUCCAUUGAAAGUCCUCAUUCUCAAAUUUAAAACAAAGACUUUUUGUGUACCUCAAUAGCAAUGCACACACAGUUGGCUUCACAAACAUAUUGUACAUUUCUUUUUUUCAUAUUUAUUCAACAAAUGUAUAUUGACUACCCACCGUGUGACAGGUGUUAUUUGUUGACGGAACCAGGCAUCAUCAGCAAACAAAACUGACAAAGCUUCCUGCCCUCUGUGGAAGGCAUCUGAGGAAGAGACUGGAUUUUGUAGCAACAUGUUAUUCUCAUUAUAAACUUUAUCAUUGGAAUACUAAAGCCAAAUCAUCCCCCAUCUCCUUGAUCAGGAUACCCACUUAAUCUAGGCAGCUACACAAUUGUGAGAGCCUUUGUUUUUUUCUGCUGAAACAUCCUUAAAAAGAUACCUCACAACCCAAGAUUUGGCUUUUCUUAAAUACGAUUUUUAAUUUUUUUCAUUUCUAUCUAGAGAUUUAAUUGGAAAUGGAAAAUCAUCAAUUUUCCAAUUAAAUGUCUGUUCCAAUCAACAUUAUACCUUUUAGGUUGUCAUUGUCAUUUUUAAGUUUAAGCAACUUUAAGGAUUUUGAAUCUGGCUGCCUGUAAAUUAAAGGUGAAAGUAAUCAUUGUGUUGGAUUGGAACAUUUUGUCAAUUGAGAGUGGUUUCCUUGUUCUUAGUGUAUGAAAAGUUUAUUUUUCUAAUGUAGAUUAAUAAAGGAGAUAAAGAAAAACAAAAUGAGUGAUUUAUGUGUGUGAGAAAAGAACCAUUUCCUCAAGGAUUAAAUAAAAUUCAUACCUUUUGUUUCUUUUGAAAAGUUUUUAAAAUAAAUUUUAAUGAAUGUGUCCUUUAAAUAUUCCUUUAAAAAUGUAUCCUAUUUUAAAAUGGACUCUCUGAGAGAAGGAAUUGAUACCUGUGUUUAAAAUCAAAAAUAGCAUGCAUAGAGACUGUUUUUCUAGUUGGUUGAAGCUUUUUUCCCUCUCCUUUACAUCAGUGAACCAGCAUCUUGCCCUUCAGACCCUACAGCACACUCUUGGGCUCAUGAAGUGUAUGACACAUCCUCCUUGGGGGAUCGGCCAUGUCCUCGCUCUCAUGACCACAUGAAUUCUUCUGUAUGUCUUUUCUCACAGCUGAGUACUCUCUUCCUGACCCCCUUGUGGAAUGGGGAAAGGAGGCUGUGACAUUGUGCUUGUGCAAACAAUAAUUGAGAGCUUUCCGAGUCUCCUGCAUCUUCAUAAAUGAUUUUUUGUUUUAUGCUGGGACAGUAGUUCUUUAAAUAGAAUAUUCUCCCAUGGAAAUCGCCCACAAUGCUGAGAGUACACCUUGCAAAAGGUAAGUCUAGAAUAUAGGGUGCCUCCUCAGCAUUGCCCAGAAGCUGAAGUUAGGACUCUCUAGAAUACCAAAAACAAAUUUAUAGCAGUUCAUUAAUGUAAGGAAUUAUGAAAACUGUGUGCCACCAUUAUCCAUAGAUGAAACAAGAGCCACCACGCAAGCACAGACACAAAGCCCUGAAGAUGAAGCCAUUGACAGGGCUCUCAUUUAUUCUGUAGAAACCCACUUGCCUGUUUUUGAACCAGUUUUCUUUGGAGCAUAUGUCUCACUGUGCAACCAAAGUGGUGUUUAUAUCCUAGUCACUUGGCAAAAAUUCUGUCAUUGCUUCAGGGAGAUCCAUUUUAGGCCUGAAGCAUGGAGCUGGUAAUAGAUGGGAUUUGGUACUUCUGAAGAAAAGACCCUACUGCAAAUUUAGAGAGUUAAUUUUUUCUUUUGUUCCCCAUAAUAUUGUUGCUAGAUAGAACUACCUUUUUUGACUAGAAGUUAAAUAUAGAGGCCUAAAUCAAUUAGGUAACUCCCACUCAUUCUAAAUGAGAACAUGUUUGUUUUUCUCCAACGAGAUGAGAAAUAUUUGAGGCGCUUCCUGAUAUCUCUAUCACCCACUGCAUUUUUUCACUUGAUGUAUAUUUCCCCAUGUAUUUGGGAUAAUUUUCAAAUAAUUGCCCUUUAGAAAUCUACUUGAUAUUAAAUGUAAAAAAAAAGCAAGAUGCAAAAUUAUUAUAGGAUGCAUUUACAGAAAUUACAAAAUUUCUAUAAACUAUUUAUGGAGGAAGACUUAUAGAGUAUAUGUCAACACAUUGCUUUAUUAUUGUCCUUGGUUAUGAGUAUGGUUUUUUUGAAACCUGCUUUGUACUUUGGGUGUUUUCUCACCAUUGGUACAAUUGAGGCAUUUUUCCCUCUUCUUCAACCUUGCAAAUCACACGUGAGGAUGCUCAUAGAAGUGCCUCUCAGACAGGCUGUUGUUUUGCUUUCACCAAUAAAUCAUUUAUAAUUAGAAGUAGAAAACUAUUCUUUCCAGUGCAAAUACAUCCCUUUCAAAAGCAGUUCUCUUUUUGUGAAUGAUGUCUAGUGUCUAAGAAACGAGGGUAACCUUUAUUAUAUGCAUUGCUCUAAUCGAAGCAUUGUUUUUUGCGGUGAACUCAAGGUUACAUGUUUAAGAAAAGCAUCGGGUUAAUUCCAUUAGGAAAAGUGUCUUAUUCAUAAACCUUUAGCCACUGGAAAAACACCAUUAGGAGGCCACACAAGUGUGUAUAGCUGGAUAGAAUUUGACAACUGGCAAAACAAAACAAUAGCCUACAAUUGCAGAGUGCUGUCUGUUUAAAAACCAACAUAUCUUUCACCAACAAAUACAUAUUCACCUCAACACGAGACUUUCAUGUGGUUAUUAAUAUCAAAUUUUUGAAUGUCCAAAUUUUGGAGUGUAGUCUAGCAGAGGUAAACUGAUUUGCCUAAGGUCCUUCAACUGUCAGAGGUAGAAUUAUUUUCUCUCUCCUGGCUCUAAAACCUGUCCAGAUUCUCCUGCAACACUGUCCUUCAAAAACACACUUCCGCUGACUCCAGUGCUGGUGAUGUCAUGCUUUAGCUAGUAGUUAGAGGUGACUUAACUUUAAAUAUGGAAUCUUUUUUUCCUAUUAAGCAAUGAGGUUUAGUUUGAAAAUUCUUAGAGAUGAUAAACCCCUCUCCUUUUUUUCUUCCUUCUCCUCUUUUGUCCUGAACAAUGUUCCAUAUAUAUUACUGCCAGAAACAGAUUCUUGACAUUCCUGUUAUGCUUUUCCACAUCUUGUAAUCAUUUCUACAGCUGUUAGCAUUGCCAACAAUUAUAUUUCCACUUUUAAAAAAUUGUUACAAAGAUGCAGAGAGAAAAGAGGAAAGCCAAGGAAUAAACUACAGGCAAUUAUGGGAUAUUUUUGUGAUGUGACAUUUUGGGAACUGAGGCAGCAUCACUGAUACUGCACUACUUUUUAAUAUCUAGAUUUUAAUCUUUUGUAUGAAGAUAAAAUUCACAUGCCUUAAACCUGACCACAACAUAAUAGGGCAUUUAUUUUUCUAAUUUUGAUACCAUCCACAUUUCUUAACUAUAAGAAGAAUGCUUAUGUUGUACCAGGUUAUAUGAUGUUGCCAAGAAGUAGAUGUGUACCAUUUACUAAUACAUCCUUUUGGAAAAUGCGUAUUAAUAACAUAUUAAGGAGUAAAUUGACGUUGUGCAAAGUGAGCCUGUGAGUUUAAAUGUAUGGAUUGUACACCUUGCUCUUCCUAAUUGCAGAUUUAACAGGAUUUGAUGACCUAAUGAGUUUAUUUCUGAAUGAUUUAUAUUUCUUUGUCAGUUCAAUGAUUUAGUAUUUUAAAUUUUUUUAAAUCACAUUUUAUUGAGAUAAUGCUAUUAGUGUUUCUUUCCCAUCACUUAACAAAGUUAAGUCACUCCUCUCCCACCCCACUUUUGUACCUACCAAUGUUUUUUUCACAGUUACAGGCUGAUUGGCUUGACGUGUCUUAGGAUACCACCCAAAGAGAGCUUCAUUUUAUAAAUACCAAGCUCAUUUUCCUAAAUAUUUUCAAAAAGAUAGAUUUAUCCUCAUAUAGUAAAUUCAGAUUAAUAAUUUUGGAAAGGGUCAUGUGACCAUGGUAUUACAUGGCUGUGGAAGACCCUCCAAGAUCUUGUUUUGGGAUAGAAGGACUCAGACAUCCAAACUUUUAAAUUAAUGAACUUAUUAAAUUCUAAAACUUUGUAACAGUGUUAAUUUGAGAAGUAUAAUAUUUUGCUUAAGGUCUGUUUUGCUUUGCAAAAUGCAUCUCCUUCAUUUUCAUAUUAUGUUGGAAGCUUAGCAUGAAAGAACGUGCCUCAGAGGAAACCAUAGGUAAGCAUACUUUAACAAAAGUUAGUGUCAUCAUGUUUGUGUCUUUGCCUGUGGUUUUUUAAAUGUAUAAUGUUUAACGUUGAUUUGGCUAUCAAAUUACAUUUUCUUUUGUUAAAAAAUUCUGUAAAUUAGAAAUGUACUGAAUCAUUUAUUUAGCAGACUGAAGGUGGGUAAUGUUGGCUGAACAGGUUUAAGCCACAGUAAUUUGAAAAUGUAAAUACAUAAAAUAAUGUCAUUUCUCUUCCACUCAAUGUUUCUUCACCAAAUAAAGUCCAGCCUGCUCUGAAUUUGUUGCCAGUAGGAACAAUGUUACAGUGAAUCAUGGUUUAAUAUACCUUGAAAAUGGCACAUCUGUUCUGUGAUAGCUUACCAAUUUUAGCCUCUUUAUAAAAUACGAAGAGUUUGUCAACCAGAAUAAUCUAGAACCUGGCAAUUCAAAUACCAUUCAAAGCAAAUGUUUUAUCUAAUAACUGGAACUAAAUGUUAGGCCUCAUGACAGUUCAAUAUUUACUAAAUAAGUUUAAUAACAGGGUAAGCCCUCAGUAUCCAGAGCAGAGACAAGCACACCAUAUUUACACAUACAAAUUCUGCCUUUAGCCAUCUGAAAGGGCCCCGAACUAUUGCAGCAAGCAAAGAGUCUUUGCAUUGUCCUAAAAUCCAUACAAUACUUUAUAUUUUACACAUUUUAAUAGCUAGUUUAACAAAUAACAAGUACCAUGCUUAAUUCUCUGCAUGCAUUAUUUCAACUAAUUAUUGGAAUAAUCUUAUAAAGUGGGUACUUUCGUCUCAGCUUACAGGUGAGAAAACAAAAGUUAAAUAGAUCGCCCAGGGCUCUGCUGGAACGUGUUAAGCAGGGAUUUCAGCCUGUCCAGUCAGACCCCAGAAGUUGUGUUCUUAACCAUUAGCAACACAUCAUCCCAGGCAGGCCCUACAUGAGCCUCAUAACCAAUUUUAUGCUGGAUAGUAUUAUCCCUAUUUCACAGAUGGCAAAACUGAGGUCCAGAGACUUUAAGUGACCUACCCAAAAUUACAGUCAUGAGCAGAGGCACUGGAAUGUAGGGCCUUGACACUCUACCUCACGUGGUCCUCUUUCCUGUUUUGGGUAGUUCUCCACUACCACUACUCAUUUCUGAUGCUGGAAAGGCUGUGUUUUAUACAUUUCUGUUUCUGGCUUGGAACGAAACACUCUGGGUCUCUGCUUGAUCAGUGUCCCCUCUAAACUGCACCUCACUACAGUAGGGAUGGCAUAAGAUACUUCUUUACACAGCAUCUUUUUGUUCCCACCUCACCCCCAGAGCUGUAAUAGGUAGAGCCAGCCAAAUGUCAAAGGGAUGAUUUGUCUUGUCACCACUAGUUUCCCUUUUCUCUGCCUUGUAUGUAACAGGAAUAUUCUUUAGUUCCUCCUUAUGUUCUAAAGCACCUCCCCAACCUAAAAAUAGAAGAGGAGUUGUGGGUCAUUUACACUUUAGUGUGAAUUUGCCCUUGUGACUUUGCCAAGGCUGUUGUGCCUAACCCUUUCAAUCUAACAGCAGAAUGAGAGUCUCUGGACUAUCCUGGCUCCUUCCCUGAGAAGAAUGAACUGGGAAUUGUUGGUCUAGACAUCAAGACUACCAGAGACCUAUUGCUCAGAGAUGUUUGGGCUGUACAAUUUCUGUAGAUAUGGCAUCUGGAGCAGCCUUUUCUAAGCAAUGGCAUUAUCAUUCCAGGCUCUCUCGCUCUUUCCAUCUCUCCACCAGGUGGACUCUUGCCCUCCACCCCUUCCAAUUUGUCAGUGAUUCAGAGAACAUUCUCCAUCCUUCCAAUGAUUACAUUCCUUCAUCUUGCUGGGGCGCCAAUUCAGUGAUGGAGCGGCUCUUGGGAGCAGCCUUGGCUUAUAGUGCAGCUCUCUGCUACCUUCAACAGGCUGGUAUUCGGGGUGCUUAGAUGUGACUGGUUGUACGCACGUGUGUGUAUGUGCAUGUGUGUACAGCAGUAAGAGCUUUCGAGGUAGAUACUUGAGGAAGCCUCAGACAUCUAGCCCCAUUACUGGGGCAAUGUCUUACUUGGGUUUUUCCAGAAACAGACCUGGAGACCAGGAUUCAAGUGCCAGUGGUAUAUUUGGGAUGUGAACCCUGCAAUGCUGGUAGGAGAGUGGAGAAGUGAGGCAAGGAAAGGAAGGCCGUCAAGGGGCGUGUUAGGAGGUCAUUCACCACCGCAGGUAGCCCGCUGGGGACCUCUGGGAGCAAGUGUGGCGCACAAGCCUCAGCAUUACUGCCCUGUGCCUUGAGGAGUAAGGGAUAAGGAUUUUCCCCACCAGUUCCCUGUAGUCCUUGGUGAGAGCUUCUGGGGUGGAGGUUAAGGUCUUUAGGUCAGAGAAAUUUUCUUUAGUUUCGGAAAAAUCUUUCAGGCCGAGGUCCAGACACUCACUGGAACACACUGAAGUGGUUAGGUCCAAGGGCUGUAGGCAGAGCUCCCAUAUCCAUCUGCAGAGGUGUUUCAGGUGGAAGGAGUGGAGACAGCCUUCUCUGCUCCACACUGUCUUCAGCAAGGGUUUCUGUAUCUGUGCAUUGAGGAUUAAAUUAUUCACAUGGUCAGAGAAGCCCAUCACCACUGAUAGUUAUUGUAGGUAUGGAAAACUAACGACUAAGAAGGGAGAAAAAUAUACCAAGCAGUUGGCUUGGCUGAACACAAGUAAAGACUCUUACAGUCACUGGUGUGAACUGCUUAUUAUCAAUGUCUGAUUACAGUGCUGCAUACUAAUGAUUAUGCAUGUCAUUAAAUGUGUCAGAUUAACUUUGUUAUAAAAUUUAUGACAACAUUAAAUUUUAUUCACAUGCUCAGCCUUCAUAAUUUAUUGCUUAUGUAGCAUGGUUUUAACUUCAGAAAAACCUCCAAGACAGUGUUGUCUUGAUGACUACACUGCUUAUCCGUGAGUCUAGUUUUCCUGUUCAUUUGAAAUGUUCACAUUACAUUCAGCUCUGUCUCAAGCACUGAGACAGAGCUGGAAUCAGUGCCCAGCGAUUCCACUUGCCGAGUGAUUGA
Molecule: long non-coding RNA, 7494 nt
Filed under: Homo sapiens (human)
Lineage: Eukaryota; Metazoa; Chordata; Mammalia; Primates; Hominidae
Description: non-protein coding lnc-C16orf78-5:6
Source: RNAcentral